RNAcentral lists this ribosomal RNA (259 nucleotides) under uncultured Staphylococcus sp. Its description in RNAcentral is "partial 16S ribosomal RNA". It matches the Rfam family "Bacterial small subunit ribosomal RNA", at positions 103 to 355 of the family's 1533-position model. Lineage: Bacteria; Bacillati; Bacillota; Bacilli; Caryophanales; Staphylococcaceae. The record is from RNAcentral.
CGGGUGAGUAACACGUGGAUAACCUACCUAUAAGACUGGGAUAACUUCGGGAAACCGGAGCUAAUACCGGAUAAUAUUUUGAACCGCAUGGUUCAAAAGUGAAAGACGGUCUCGCUGUCACUUAUAGAUGGAUCCGCGCUGCAUUAGCUAGUUGGUAAGGUAACGGCUUACCAAGGCAACGAUGCAUAGCCGACCUGAGAGGGUGAUCGGCCACACUGGAACUGAGACACGGUCCAGACUCCUACGGGAGGCAGCAGCC